AUUUCUACACAGAAUACUUCUCAUGAAAAAACUGAGUUUUUCAGUUGCGGUUUGUUCGGUUAAAUACAGGCGAAUUCCCUUUCAAGGCAACCUUCAAGGCAAGAGGAAAGCCUCUUUUAACAGAACCCCUGUGGACCAGGUGGAUGGACAGGGGACCAGGUGGACCAGGUGGAUGGACUGGGGACCAGGUGGAUGGACUGUGGAACAAAAGACACAAUAAAUAUAUCACCAAAAGACUAACAGCAUUUUGAAGUAGAUUCCUUCAAAAGGUAUGACAACAAGCUGUUGUGUUGUACCUCAUGUCUAAAUAGUUGAGGUAAAGCCG
Molecule: long non-coding RNA, 325 nt
Organism: Oncorhynchus tshawytscha (Chinook salmon)
Lineage: Eukaryota; Metazoa; Chordata; Actinopteri; Salmoniformes; Salmonidae
Source: Ensembl